GGCCAGCCACUGUCUGUCAACUUUCGCCGGCCUUCCGACCUAAUUUUUUUGAUUCGCUUCACUUCAGCAGCCACUUCAGCGAUUUCGGCAAAUUGUGUACGUGUAUGUCCGCAGAUAUGGCCCCUGGAACUCGUAUUCUUCUCUUGGAUUCAUCUAACAAGAGCGCAACGUUUGUAAGACCAAGGACCAAAGCUUGUACCUUCAGGAAAUGGAGGUACAAGCUGAAAUGGUGCAUGUAGAAUGCAAUAGUUCAAUAUCGUUGGUGCAGAAUGAAAAUGAUGGAGUGCAGUUACAAAGUCGGCUUCAGGAAAUUUUUCGCUUACAAUGAGCAAACGCCAGUCCUUGGAUGAAAACUUGUGGAGCUGGUGGAAAUCUUUAUCGAGACACCGUUCUCAAGAGUAAUCACCGAAAUCUACAGCAUUUGUGCCAACAUUUAAAUCUCCACUGCACCAUGUACCAACGCCACUUGUUUUCCUCUACUCUGCCAACACUUCUAAAAC
Bemisia tabaci is the source of this 500-nucleotide non-coding RNA. The record is from RefSeq and is a predicted model, not a curated record. Lineage: Eukaryota; Metazoa; Arthropoda; Insecta; Hemiptera; Aleyrodidae.